This 497-nucleotide ribosomal RNA is filed under the name uncultured bacterium. RNAcentral describes it as "partial 16S ribosomal RNA". It matches the Rfam family "Bacterial small subunit ribosomal RNA", at positions 28 to 507 of the family's 1533-position model. The record is from RNAcentral.
GAUGAACGCUGGCGGCGUGCCUAAUACAUGCAAGUCGAGCGAACGGACGAGAAGCUUCCUUCUCUGAUGUUAGCGGCGGACGGGUGAGUAACACGUGGAUAACCUACCUAUAAGACUGGGAUAACUUCGGGAAACCGUAGCUAAUACCGGAUAAUAUUUUGAACCGCAUGUUUCAACAGUGAAAGACGGUCUUGCUGUCACUUAUAGAUGGAUCCGCGCUGCAUUAGCUAGUUGGUAAGGUAACGGCUUACCAAGGCAACGAUGCAUAGCCGACCUGAGAGGGUGAUCGGCCACACUGGAACUGAGACACGGUCCAGACUACUGCGGGAGGCAGCAGUAGGGAAUCUUCCGCAAUGGGCGAAAGCCUGACGGAGCAACGCCGCGUGAGUGAUGAAGGUCUUCGGAUCGUAAAGAUCUGUUAUUAGGGAAGAACAUAUGUGUAAGUAACUAUGCACAUCGUGACGGUACCUAAACAGAAAGCCACGGCUAACUACGUG